This 914-nucleotide ribosomal RNA is filed under the name uncultured archaeon. RNAcentral's name for it is "bacterial SSU rRNA". It matches the Rfam family "Archaeal small subunit ribosomal RNA", at positions 1 to 923 of the family's 1478-position model. The record is from RNAcentral.
UUCCGGUUGAUCCUGCCGGACCUGACUGCUAUCGGAUUGGUACUAAGCCAUGCGAGUCAUUGUAGCAAUACAAGGCAGACGGCUCAGUAACACGUAGUCAACCUAACUCGUGGACGUGGAUAACCUCGGGAAACUGAGAAUAAACCGCGAUAGAUCAUAGUGCCUGGAAUGGCUUAUGGUCAAAACAGUUUACUGCCAUGGGAUGGGACUGCGGCCUAUCAGCUUGUUGGUGAGGUAAUGGCCCACCAAGGCGAUUACAGGUACGGGCUCUGAGAGGAGAAGCCCGGAGAUGGGUACUGAGACACGGACCCAGGCCCUAUGGGGCGCAGCAGGCGAGAAACCUUAGCAAUGUGCGAAAGCACGACUGGGUCAGUCCGAGUGAUUCCUGAUAAAGGAGUCUUUUGCUUGUCCUAAAAGCACAGGUGAAUAAGGGGUGGGCAAGUCUGGUGUCAGCCGCCGCGGUAAUACCAGCACCUCGAGUGGUCAGGACGUUUAUUGGGCCUAAAGCAUCCGUAGCCGGCUCUGCAAGUCUUCGGUUAAAUCCACCUGCUCAACAGAUGGGCCGCUGGAGAUACUACAGAGCUAGGGAGUGGGAGAGGCAGACGGUAUUCAGUGGGUAGGGGUAAAAUCCUCUGAUCCAUUGAGGACCACCAGUGGCGAAGGCGGUCUGCCAGAACACGUUCGACGGUGAGGGAUGAAAGCUGGGGGAGCAAACCGGAUUAGAUACCCGGGUAGUCCCAGCUGUAAACGAUGCAAACUCGGUGAUGCAUUGGCUUAUGGCCAAUGCAGUGCCGCAGGGAAGCCGUUAAGUUUGCCGCCUGGGAAGUACGGACGCAAGUCUGAAACUUAAAGGAAUUGGCGGGGGAGCACCACAAGGGGUGAAGCCUGCGGUUCAAUUGGAUUCAACGCCGGAA